This 1725-nucleotide long non-coding RNA is filed under the name Salmo salar (Atlantic salmon). RNAcentral's name for it is "lncRNA (ENSSSAG00000111658.1)". The record is from RNAcentral. Lineage: Eukaryota; Metazoa; Chordata; Actinopteri; Salmoniformes; Salmonidae.
CCCGAGCGCGCUGUUCCUUCUUUUUCUCCUUGAAUGAAUACGCUAUUGUCCGGUUGGAAUAUUAUCGCAAUUUUACAUAAAAAAUACCAUAAAGAUUGAUUUUAAACAGCGUUUGACAUGCUUCUAAGUACGGUAAUGGAACAUUUUGACUUUUCGUCUCUGGUACCGCGCUCGCGCGUUAUGCCUUUGGAUAGUACUCUGAACGCACAAACAAAACGGAGGUAUUUGGGCAUAAAUAUGGAUUAUUUGGAACAAAAACAACAUUUCUUGUGGAUGUAGCAGUCCCGGGAGUGCAUUCUGAUGAAGAUCACCAAAGAGGACCUGAGCCCUAGGACCAUGCCUCUGGACUACCUGGCCUGAUGACUCCUUGCUGUCCCCAGUCCACCUGGUCGUGCUGCUACUCCAGUUUCAACUGUUCUGCUUGCGGCUAUGGAACCCUGACCUGUUCACCGGACGCUCUACCUGUCCCAGACCUGCUGUUUUCAACUCUCUAGAGACAGCAGGAGCGGUAGAGAUACUCUGAAUGAUCGGUUAUGAAAAGCCAACUGUCAUUUACUCCUGAGGUGCUGACCUGUUGCACCCUCUACAACCACUGUGAUUAUUAUUAUUUGAUCCUGCUGGCCAUCUAUGAACAUUUUAAUAUCUUGGCCAUGUUCUGUUAUAAUCUCCAUCCGGCACAGCCAGAAGAGGACUGGCCACCCCUCGUAGCCUGGUUUCUCUCUAGAUUUCUUCCUAGGUUCUGGCCUUUCUAGGGAGUUUUUCCUAGCCACCGUGCUUCUACACCUGCAUUGCUUGCUGUUUGGGGUUUUAGGCUGGGUUUCUGUACAGCACUUUGUGACAUCAGCUGAUGUAAGGAGGGCUUUAUAAAUACAUUUGAUUGAUAUUCCACAAGUUACCACCGGCUAAAUCUAUGACUUUGAAAUGCCUAUUUACUCUGUUCUAUCUGAUUGCGCAAUCCACUGUCUCAUCAACCCAGGCAGUGAAGUUAUCUCCACUAUAAAAAGCAUCUGGACAUUAUCUCCCAUUUGUUUUAGACUAACAUUUCGUUUUCAACAGUGGAGAUUUGUACUAACCUUGCUGUCUGUCUCUCCGACAUUUGCAACAUUGUUUCAAUAUUCAAAUUCGAUCACCAACUGUCCCAUAGCACAUGUAGGGAUCGGGAGUCGGGACGAGAGAGAGGCAGGCAGGGUUUCUCAUCCAGUCGAAAUAAUGAAUCAGCUGGCAUCAUUUUUAUUGAUAUAUUCAAAGAAAUGUCAAUUGAAAAAAGGUCAAAUGAAAUGAAGUGUAGCUAGUUUGCAGUCUUUCCAGCUUCUGUUUGAAGUGAUUGUGUUAGCUGUGUUGUUGGCUAGCUCCUCUGAACAAUAGUGUUCUAAUGAGAGCGCACAUUUUCUAUACCAGGCGAAAUCAUGCUUCAUUAGCUCAUUGUUAUGGAUGUAUCCAAAUAAAUGUCACUAGAAAACAGCUUAAACAAAUGCAGCUACUGUUGUUAUUCUGUCUGCGCUGUUUGACGUGACAGCUAGGCAAUUAGCCACAGUUGCCUAUCUGGCAAGCAAGGGAUAAGAACUUUCCAGCCAGUAUGGCAAUGGAACAUUUAGAACGAACGACUGGGUCGCGUCCAUAGAUACAGAACAAAAAGACUGAACAACUGGGUCGCUUCGCUGGCAACCGAACCAAUAGAACGAACGACCAGCCGGCUUGGGUAGCAACCUUAGAUUUGUUUUUGAG